AGAGUUUGAUCCUGGCUCAGGACGAACGCUGGCGGCGUGCUUAACACAUGCAAGUCAAGGGGGCUCCGCAAGGGGCAACCGGCGAACGGGUGCGUAACACGUGAGCAACCUGCCUUCGAGUGGGGAAUAGCCGGCCCAACGGCCGGGUAAUACCGCAUACGCUCUUCGCCUGGCAUCGGGUGGGGAGGAAACGUUUACGGCUCGGAGAGGGGCUCGCGGCCUAUCAGCUAGUUGGUGCGGUCACGGCGCACCAAGGCGACGACGGGUAGCUGGUCUGAGAGGAUGGCCAGCCACAUUGGGACUGAGAAACGGCCCAGACUCCUACGGGAGGCAGCAGUGGGGAAUCUUGCGCAAUGGCCGAGAGGCUGACGCAGCGACGCCGCGUGGGGGAUGAAGCAUUUCGGUGUGUAAACCCCUGUUGCUCGGGACGAACGACCCUUUUCGGGGGGUGUGACGGUACCGAGUGAGGAAGCACCGGCUAACUCCGUGCCAGCAGCCGCGGUAAUACGGAGGGUGCGAGCGUUGUCCGGAAUCACUGGGCGUAAAGGGCGCGUAGGUGGUUGGAUGCGCCGGUGGUGAAAGCGCGGGGCUCAACCCUGCGUCGGCCAUCGGGACGGUCCGACUGGAGCACUGUAGAGGCAGGUGGAAUUCCGGGUGUAGCGGUGGAAUGCGUAGAGAUCCGGAAGAACACCGGUGGCGAAGGCGGCCUGCUGGGCAGUGGCUGACACUGAGGCGCGACAGCGUGGGGAGCAAACAGGAUUAGAUACCCUGGUAGUCCACGCCGUAAACGAUGGGCACUAGGUGCUUGGGGGAGCGACCCCCUGAGUGCCGACGCUAACGCAUUAAGUGCCCCGCCUGGGGAGUACGACCGCAAGGUUGAAACUCAAAGGAAUUGACGGGGGCCCGCACAAGCGGUGAAGCAUGUGGUUUAAUUCGACGCAACGCGAAGAACCUUACCUAGGCUUGACAUGGCCGUGAACGGCCGAGGAAACUCGGUCGGUCCUUCGGGACGCGGUCACAGGUGCUGCAUGGCUGUCGUCAGCUCGUGUCGUGAGAUGUUGGGUUAAGUCCCGCAACGAGCGCAACCC
This 1088-nucleotide ribosomal RNA is filed under the name uncultured bacterium. RNAcentral's name for it is "bacterial SSU rRNA". It matches the Rfam family "Bacterial small subunit ribosomal RNA", at positions 8 to 1104 of the family's 1533-position model. The record is from RNAcentral.